AACGAACGCUGGCGGCAUGCCUAACACAUGCAAGUCGAACGAGACCUUCGGGUCUAGUGGCGCACGGGUGCGUAACGCGUGGGAACCUGCCCUUAGGUUCGGAAUAACUCCCCGAAAGGGGUGCUAAUACCGGAUAAUGUCUUCGGACCAAAGAUUUAUCGCCUUUGGAUGGGCCCGCGUUGGAUUAGCUAGUUGGUAGGGUAAAAGCCUACCAAGGCGACGAUCCAUAGCUGGUCUGAGAGGAUGAUCAGCCACACUGGGACUGAGACACGGCCCAGACUCCUACGGGAGGCAGCAGUGGGGAAUAUUGGACAAUGGGCGAAAGCCUGAUCCAGCAAGGCCGCGUGAGUGAUGGAGGCCUUAGGGUUGUAAAGCUCUUUUACCCGGGAUGAUAAUGACAGUACCGGGAGAAUAAGCUCCGGCUAACUCCGUG
Molecule: ribosomal RNA, 433 nt
Filed under: uncultured bacterium
Lineage: Bacteria
Description: partial 16S ribosomal RNA
Rfam family: Bacterial small subunit ribosomal RNA
Source: RNAcentral